Molecule: ribosomal RNA, 718 nt
Filed under: uncultured Exophiala
Lineage: Eukaryota; Fungi; Ascomycota; Eurotiomycetes; Chaetothyriales; Herpotrichiellaceae
Description: eukaryotic LSU rRNA
Rfam family: 5.8S ribosomal RNA (bases 304-458)
Source: RNAcentral
CUUGGUCAUUUAGAGGAAGUAAAAGUCGUAACAAGGUUUCCGUAGGUGAACCUGCGGAAGGAUCAUUACCGAGUUAGGGUUGCCCACACCGUGGCGCGCCCGACCUCCCAACCCUGUGUCUAUCAUUACCUUGUCGUUGCUUCGGCGGACCGGUCGACCGACUGGUCGAAACCGCCGGGGUGGCCCAGCCGCCCUGGAGAGCGUCCGCCGACGGCCCCAACAAACCAAAAUUCUUGAUACCAAAACACCUGUCGUCUGAAUCUUUACCCUCGUGAGAAAUCACGGGGGAACAAAAUAAACCAAAACUUUCAACAACGGAUCUCUUGGUUCUGGCAUCGAUGAAGAACGCAGCGAAAUGCGAUAAGUAAUGCGAAUUGCAGAAUUUCCGUGAGUCAUCGAAUCUUUGAACGCACAUUGCGCCCACUGGUAUUCCGGUGGGCAUGCCUGUUCGAGCGUCAUUAUCCCCCCUCAAACCCCCGUGUUUGGCGUUGGGCCGGGUCGUGCGUCCUUCUCGCACGACMGGCCCCAAAGACAAUGACGGUGUCCGUGGGACCCUCGGUGCAACGAGUCUUUUUCUAGGCACGCGCCGAGUUGCAAGGUCCCGUCGGGCCGGUCACCUUUCCUUUCUCGAGCAAUCGGGAAUCGAACCUUUUUAACAGGUUGACCUCGGAUCAGGUAGGAAUACCCGCUGAACUUAAGCAUAUCAAUAAGCGGAGGA